AAUGAACGUUGGCGGCAUGGAUUAGGCAUGCAAGUCGCACGAGAACCCAAAUAGCUUGCUACGAGGGGGACAGUGGCGAAAGGGAGAGUAACGCGUGGUUACUUGCCCUCGAGACCGGGAUAGCGUCGGGAAACUGGCAGUAAUACCGGAUAACAUCUACGGAUCAAAUGGUGUGAUUCCGCUCGAGGAUAGGACCGCGUACUAUUAGCUUGUUGGUGAGGUAACGGCUCACCAAGGCUGCGAUGGUUACCGGGUGUGAGAGCAUGGCCCGGCUCACUGGGACUGAGACACUGCCCAGACAUCUACGGAUGGCUGCAGUCGAGAAUCUUCGGCAAUGGACGAAAGUCUGACCGAGCGAUGCCGCGUGCGGGAUGAAGGCCCUCGGGUUGUAAACCGCUGUCAGUUGGAAGGAAAUCCAUGGUGGUCAUCCAUCAUGGUUGACCGAUCUUCAGAGGAAGGACGGGCUAAGUUCGUGCCAGCCG
This 482-nucleotide ribosomal RNA is filed under the name uncultured bacterium. RNAcentral describes it as "bacterial SSU rRNA". It matches the Rfam family "Bacterial small subunit ribosomal RNA", at positions 29 to 514 of the family's 1533-position model. The record is from RNAcentral.